UCGAAAGAGCAAAGCUUUCUAAUCCCUACUAUACUGAAUGAUUUUCUUUUUCUAUAUGUGGAAUCCCCAUUUCCCCUGUAAUGUUCAUCUGAUACUUUCUUAUUCUUGUUUCUGGUUGUCAUGUUGCGCUAUUGGUUUCUGAAAGCCAAGAAACAAGGUAAGUUAAGAAUUCUGCUCAAACUUUUUAAUGUGGGCUUCUUCAUGCCUACCCUUUAAGUUGUUCAAAUUUCAUCAUGGAAGGGAGAAGAACGGAUCGCAAGUAUUCAUUUCGUCUUAGUUUUGAGGACUUUACCAAUCUACAAGAAUUUGAUAGUACGCAAAAUUCAGAUUUACCAUUUUUUGAUCUAAGCUCAAUAGCUGCUGCAACAGAUUAUUUCUCCCCUGACAAUAAACUUGGUCAAGGUGGAUUUGGUUCUGUAUAUAAGGGAUGCAGCAAUUCCAGCAAUGACCUUGUUGGUUGGUGCAAAUCUUGUUAAGGGUUUAGAGGGAGU
This is a long non-coding RNA of Arachis duranensis, 491 nucleotides long. RefSeq lists it as uncharacterized. NCBI's taxonomy places the organism in Eukaryota, Viridiplantae, Streptophyta, Magnoliopsida, Fabales, Fabaceae. The record is from RefSeq and is a predicted model, not a curated record. The transcript has 3 exons.